This 424-nucleotide ribosomal RNA is filed under the name uncultured bacterium. Its description in RNAcentral is "partial 16S ribosomal RNA". It matches the Rfam family "Bacterial small subunit ribosomal RNA", at positions 360 to 776 of the family's 1533-position model. The record is from RNAcentral.
AAUUUUGGACAAUGGGGGAAACCCUGAUCCAGCCAUCCCGCGUGUAUGAUGAAGGCCUUCGGGUUGUAAAGUACUCUUGGCAGAGAAGAAAAGGUAUCCCCUAAUACGGGAUACUGCUGACGGUAUCUGCAGAAUAAGCACCGUCUAUCUACGUGCCAGCAGCAGAGGUAAUACGUAGGGUGCAAGCGUUAAUCGGAAUUACUGUGUGUAAAGCGUGUGUAGGCGGUUCGGAAAGAAAUAUGUGGAAGCCCAGGGCUCAACCUUGGAAGUGCAUUUUUAACUGCCGAGCUAGAGUGUGUCAGAGGGGGGUAGAAUGCCACGUGUAGCAGUGAAAUGCGUAGAUAUGUGGAGGAAGACCGAUAGCGAAGGCAGCCCCCUGGGAUAAUACUGACGCUCAUGCACGAAAGCGUGGGUAGCAAACAGG